UACGUAGGGUGCGAGCGUUAAUCGGAAUUACUGGGCGUAAAGCGUGCUCAGGUGGUGCGCUAAGACAGAUGUGAAAGCCCCGGGCUCAACCUGGGAACUGCGUUUGUGACUGGGGGGCUAGAGUGCGGAAGAGGGAGGUGGAAUUCCACGUGUAGCAGUGAAAUGCGUAGAGAUGUGGAGGAACACCGGUGGCGAAGGCAGCCGCCUGGUCUGUCACUGACGUUCAUGCACGAAAGCGUGGGGAGCAAACAGG
This 253-nucleotide ribosomal RNA is filed under the name uncultured bacterium. Its description in RNAcentral is "partial 16S ribosomal RNA". It matches the Rfam family "Bacterial small subunit ribosomal RNA", at positions 524 to 776 of the family's 1533-position model. The record is from RNAcentral.